This is a non-coding RNA of Vigna umbellata (rice bean), 256 nucleotides long. The record is from RefSeq and is a predicted model, not a curated record. NCBI's taxonomy places the organism in Eukaryota, Viridiplantae, Streptophyta, Magnoliopsida, Fabales, Fabaceae.
UCCUCGUAGAACGACACCAACACUCUCUUUCUUCUCCUAAAAUCUGAUUUACAUCUUCAACUGUGUGUUUGAAAGAACCAUACUCUUCAAACUACCAACUUUCAUCCUCUGCAGAAACUGAUUUUCUUAAAUAAGCUCAGUGCAACACAAUCUGCUUUCUGAAUUAUUCAACCAAACUCUACAACAUCUUUUUUCUCCAGGAAACCCUGUAAAAGACUCAGAUGCAUUAAGUCAGAACUGUCAAAUUCAUACAAGG